Molecule: long non-coding RNA, 1166 nt
Filed under: Arabidopsis lyrata
Lineage: Eukaryota; Viridiplantae; Streptophyta; Magnoliopsida; Brassicales; Brassicaceae
Description: long non-coding RNA (ALYR_LNC000429)
Source: RNAcentral
CUGAAGAUUCCCAAGACCUGAAAGUCUCACACCUGCUACAUCCAGAGACAUUUGAAUGGCUCGAAGAGAAAAUUCAGAAACUCCUCCCUGAAUACACUAAAGACAUCCUUACCUUGCGCCCAAGCAAACGAGGAGGUCAAGAUCGCUGGGCUUGGCUCCCAUCUGAUUCUGGAAUCUAUUCAACAAGAUCUGGGUACUUCGAAGUCCUGAAUUUGGAAGAAAAAGAAACCAGCACACCAUCAGUGGUGGAUGAUUAUAACUGGAAAUCGAAACUUUGGUGCCUUAAAAUCUCACCCAAAGUAAAACUCCUCCUCUGGAAAGCUCUUCAAAAUGCUCUACCAAUAGGAGAGAACCUGAAACACAGACAGAUCAUCAACAAUGUGGUAUGCAGCCACUGUGGUGGUGAGGAAUCUCUUAUUCACCUCUUCUUUAAUUGCUCUCUUGCUCAUCAGAUCUGGCGAAAGCUUCCGUGUCACCCAACUUUGAGACCUGAACAAUCUCUCUCCAUAAGAGACGGAUUUGAAGCUUCUAAGCUCAUGUCCUGCCUCCCACCGGUUGGACUUAGCGAGGGACUCCUCUCUCCAUGGCUUUUUUGGGCCAUAUGGACCGCCAAAAACCGCCGAGUAUUCCAGGAUCAACAUCUUCUGGCCGAUGCAAUUAUCACCCUCGCCAUCACAAAGGCCAAAGAUUGGACCAUAGCACAAUUAGCUAAACCUCAUGUUGCAAAGCCUGCUGCUCCACGAACAUAGAUCCCUUGCGAUCCGGAUUCAAUUAGAUGCAACUCUGAUGCGGCAUGGAAAGCAGAUAAAAACGCAGGCUUUGGAUGGAUCUUCACGGAUCACCGGGGAAAGGAACUUAAGCGUGGCUCUGCAUCCUCUGCAAACAUUUCUUCCCCUCUCCUGGCUGAGGCAACAGCAAUCCUGCUUGCAAUCCAACAUGCCCGUGAAUUGGGAUUCACCAACGUAAUCGUAGCUACCGACUCGUCUGUUCUGGUCAAAGCUUUAAGAUCGGAGAUCCAAUCGAAGGAACUCCAUGGGAUUCAUUACGACAUCCUCAAUCUAUCUUUCUCUUUUGAUGCUUUGUCUUUUCACUUUACUCCUCGUUCUGCAAACAAUUUAGCUAAUUCAUUGGCUAAAAAGGCUUUACUUUCCUUUGUAACGGGCCUG